UCUUCUAGUAAAAUUGAUGCUCCAAGAAGAUACACAACGUUGACCAUGUGGAUUCAGAUAUCUCCCGCUUGGAUCUCAGCCUGGAUCUUGUUGUUUGAGAAGCAUAGAUUAGCUACAGAGUGCCAUGUCAUACAUCCAAUAAAAUUCAACUCUGCAAGCAUGAGAGAGAAGAGGAAGGAAAAGAGAGAAUCUAAAGUAGUUGGAUCACUAGAGGGCAAUAUCGGCCAAGAGAAAGAAGAAUUCUUCACCACCGUUUCUAGGACUGGUGAAGGUUUCCACAGUCCCAGAAAAGAGGAGGAUUGUUGCCUGUGGAGGAUUAGCUGAAAUAGGUCCAUAAUGAGCCAGCUCCCAGUCAUUCACAGCACUUGGUACUUAACUGUGAGGAGCUGGACUUAUUUUCUAAGCUCCGACCUUGCUGGUAUACCUCAAAGCUUCUGAGGCCAACAAUCCUAGUAAGUGUGCUUUUUCUUCCUCACCCUCUGCUGCACUGAGGCUAACUGAAAGCUUCCUGCCCCUGUGUUGAUAUUCUAGGCCAUGCCAAUUGUAGGGCUUUCUCAGGCACACAAUUGAAAGCUAGAGCAUCUUUGGUGAAAGCUCCCCUUCUACCCAAUGCCACUCUUAAGAAUGGAGGAACUUUUGCCUCACAGAGUUUAUUAUCAUUGAUCUCUGAAAAUUAUAGCUAAGAAAUGUGAGACCCUGCUGCCCUUUGGGUGGGUGUUUUGUUUGUUUUGUUGUUGCCAAUUGAUCAGGUAUUAAGAAGAGGAGUCUCUGCCACUCAGUGCUGUGUGUCUCCUCUGUCACUUUCCUUGCUUUGUACUUUUGCCUGCAAUGUCCUCCCUCCUUUCAAAGGUUGUGUCUUCCAGGAAGCCCUCCCCAGUAAUGCUAGUCCACAACACUCCAUCUCUUUCUUGACCUGCUCAUAACUCUUACCAAUUGCUCUGUACAUUUUGGUAUUUUAUUAUAUUGUUUAUUUGUGCAUUUUUUUCAGAUGCAUAUCUCUUGG
This 1003-nucleotide long non-coding RNA is filed under the name Pan troglodytes (chimpanzee). RNAcentral describes it as "lncRNA (ENSPTRG00000054382.1)". Lineage: Eukaryota; Metazoa; Chordata; Mammalia; Primates; Hominidae. The record is from RNAcentral.